RNAcentral lists this unclassified non-coding RNA (221 nucleotides) under plant metagenome. Its description in RNAcentral is "partial contains small subunit ribosomal RNA, internal transcribed spacer 1, and 5.8S ribosomal RNA". The record is from RNAcentral.
UCUCCGUUGGUGAACCAGCGGAGGGAUCAUUACCGAGUUUACAACUCCCAAACCCUAUGUGAACCUUACCUUCUGUUGCUUCGGCGGGAUCGCCCUGGCGCUUCACGGCGCCGGGUCUCAGCGCCCGCCGGAGGCCCAAAACUCUUGUUUAUUUAUGUUUCCUCUCCGAGUGGCACAAGCAAAAUAAAUCCAAACUUUCAACAACGGAUCUCUUGGUUCUG